UAUAUGGAUGUUCUCCUCCCCAUCC
This 25-nucleotide non-coding RNA is filed under the name Rattus norvegicus (Norway rat). Lineage: Eukaryota; Metazoa; Chordata; Mammalia; Rodentia; Muridae. The record is from RNAcentral.